GUACAUCGAAAGUGGUGUUGUCCAGUAGGAUCUCCUGCAGUUACAGAAUGUUCUAGACCUGGGCUGUCCAAUAUGGUAGCUGCAAGACAUAGGUGGCUCUUGGCACUUGAAAUGUAGGUAGACAACUGACCCUUCUUAAUUUCAUUUAAUGAUAGAUGAUUAGUUCGAAUUUAUUAUUAUUUUUGAGAUGAGUUCUUGCCAUAUUGCACAAGCUGGUCUUGAAUUCCUGGGCUCAACCAAUCCUCCUGUCUCAGCCUCUCAAGUAUCUGGGACUCAGAUGCACAGCACCAUGCCUGGCUCAAGUUUAAAUCUAAAUAGCCCAUCUGUCUAGUGGCUGCUGUAUUGGAUUUCACUGUUCUUUGUGAUGUAGGGCUCUGAAUUACUAUGUUGUUCCUCAGCAGAUAUUUUCCCUGGGGUUUUCUCUGAUCAUAUUAACACCUGACUUGCAGUCUUCCUGUAAUCACCUUGAGUGACGUCAGUGUCCCGCUGAGUGACCCACCCAAAUCUUGGCCUGUUGGUUCCUUGACAUCCUCCGUAAUAGUAAUUGUCCCCUCUGCCCCACUCAAGCUACCAUUUUCUGGGGCCAUUGCAAGUCCUUGUCCUUACCUGGAAUUGUUCUACCUUUGAAAUUUUAAAGAAAAUGUAUCACACUGCUCUUCUCAGACCUGUCACCCACUCACCCACUGCACUACUGAGGCCUCUUUUCCCUGGACCUUCCACUCUCUCCUUCUCGCUUUCAUGACCAAGAUUAUUGUUCUAAGACUCCCUUAACUUUUAAAAGCUGUCUACUUGUUUCUAAACCAGUGGAUAUUUUUUAGGCCAAAUAAUAUUACUUAGCUUUUCAGAGAGCUUGGUGGUCUGGGGUCGCUCACUCCUUCUUCAAAUGUUUUCUCCCCAUGGCUUAACUGAUCCACUUCACCAACUCUUACUGGGGCAUCUGGAUGAUACUAUAAGUGGCAGGCAGUAUACCAGAUACUGGGUGUAAGAGUCAGCAAGACAGGCAUGUCCCAGCCUUCUAGAAUUUAGAGUAUAAUGAGGAAAAUGGACAUUAAUGGUUGCACUAAAAAAUAUGAGAGGACAAGUGGGAAAAGCCUGCAAAGGAAUGUAGUGUGAAAACCCCGCAUGGGGGAAUUCUCUCAAUCCUAUUUAGCCCCAAAUGCUUCUGAUUCUGUCUCUUGAAUAACUCUUUAAAAAACUGUGGUCAAAUAUACAUAACACAAAAUGGACCAUCUUAACUAUUUUAAGUGUACAGGUGAAUGGCAUUAAGAGCAUUCCCAUCAUUAGGCAACCAUCUCCAACACCCGUCUCCAGAACUUUUGCAUCUUCCCAAGUGGCAACUCUGUGCUCUUUCAACAGCACUUCCCAUUCUCCAGACCCCCAGCCCCUGGAAACCACCAUUCCGCUUCCUGUCUCUAUGCAUUUAACUACUCUAGGAGCCUCAUGUGAGUGGAAUCACACAGUAGUUGUCCUUCUGUGAUUGGCUUAUUUCACUUAGUACCAUGUCCUCCGGGUUCACCCACAUUGUAGCGUGUGUUAGGAUUUCUUUCCCUUUUACCGCUGAAUCAUAUUCCAUUGAAUGGGGAGAACCGCGUUUUGAUCAUCCAUGCGUCCACUGAUGGACACUUGGGUUGCUCCCACCUUUUGGCUAUUGUCAAUAAUGCUGCUAUGAACAUGUGUGUACAAGUAGCUCUUUCAUUCCCUGAUUUCAAUUCUUGUGGGUGAAUGUAGCUAGAAACAAAAUUGCUGGAUCAUGUAAUAAUUCUACUUUUAAUUUUUGAGGCACCACCACACUGUUUUCCAUAGCAGCUGCACCAUGUUACAUUCGCACUGAUACUGCUCAGGGGUUCAAUUUCUUCACAUUCUUGCCCACACUUGUUAAUUUCUCUGCUGUCUUUUAUUUAUUUAUUUUUGACAAUAGGCACCCUAAUGAUGUGAGAUAGUGUAUCUUUGUUUGUUAAUGGGAGAAUUUAUUUUGAUACAUGUAUGUUCUGGUGAUGAAUAUUUCCAAGAACUUCUUCUC
This 2020-nucleotide long non-coding RNA is filed under the name Homo sapiens (human). RNAcentral's name for it is "non-protein coding lnc-GMDS-16:1". The record is from RNAcentral. Lineage: Eukaryota; Metazoa; Chordata; Mammalia; Primates; Hominidae.